GGCGAACUGGUGAGUAACACGUGGGAAACCUGCCCAGAAGCGGGGGAUAACACCUGGAAACAGAUGCUAAUACCGCAUAACAACUUGGACCGCAUGGUCCGAGUUUGAAAGAUGGCUUCGGCUAUCACUUUUGGAUGGUCCCGCGGCGUAUUAGCUAGAUGGUGGGGUAACGGCUCACCAUGGCAAUGAUACGUAGCCGACCUGAGAGGGUAAUCGGCCACAUUGGGACUGAGACACGGCCCAAACUCCUACGGGAGGCAGCAGUAGGGAAUCUUCCACAAUGGACGAAAGUCUGAUGGAGCAACGCCGCGUGAGUGAAGAAGGGUUUCGGCUCGUAAAACUCUGUUGUUAAAGAAGAACAUAUCUGAGAGUAACUGUUCAGGUAUUGACGGUAUUUAACCAGAAAGCCACGGCUAACUACGUGCCAGCAGCCGCGGUAAUACGUAGGUGGCAAGCGUUGUCCGGAUUUAUUGGGCGUAAAGCGAGCGCAGGCGGUUUUUUAAGUCUGAUGUGAAAGCCUUCGGCUCAACCGAAGAAGUGCAUCGGAAACUGGGAAACUUGAGUGCAGAAGAGGACAGUGGAACUCCAUGUGUAGCGGUGAAAUGCGUAGAUAUAUGGAAGAACACCAGUGGCGAAGGCGGCUGUCUGGUCUGUAACUGACGCUGAGGCUCGAAAGUAUGGGUAGCAAACAGGAUUAGAUACCCUGGUAGUCCAUACCGUAAACGAUGAAUGCUAAGUGUUGGAGGGUUUCCGCCCUUCAGUGCUGCAGCUAACGCAUUAAGCAUUCCGCCUGGGGAGUACGGCCGCAAGGCUGAAACUCAAAGGAAUUGACGGGGGCCCGCACAAGCGGUGGAGCAUGUGGUUUAAUUCGAAGCUACGCGAAGAACCUUACCAGGUCUUGACAUACUAUGCAAAUCUAAGAGAUUAGACGUUCCCUUCGGGGACAUGGAUACAGGUGGUGCAUGGUUGUCGUCAGCUCGUGUCGUGAGAUGUUGGGUUAAGUCCCGCAACGAGCGCAACCCUUAUUAUCAGUUGCCAGCAUUAAGUUGGGCACUCUGGUGAGACUGCCGGUGACAAACCGGAGGAAGGUGGGGAUGACGUCAAAUCAUCAUGCCCCUUAUGACCUGGGCUACACACGUGCUACAAUGGAUGGUACAACGAGUUGCGAACUCGCGAGAGUAAGCUAAUCUCUUAAAGCCAUUCUCAGUUCGGAUUGUAGGCUGCAACUCGCCUACAUGAAGUCGGAAUCGCUAGUAAUCGCGGAUCAGCAUGCCGCGGUGAAUACGUUCCCGGGCCUUGUACACACCGC
This 1309-nucleotide ribosomal RNA is filed under the name Lactiplantibacillus plantarum. RNAcentral describes it as "bacterial SSU rRNA". It matches the Rfam family "Bacterial small subunit ribosomal RNA", at positions 97 to 1393 of the family's 1533-position model. Lineage: Bacteria; Bacillati; Bacillota; Bacilli; Lactobacillales; Lactobacillaceae. The record is from RNAcentral.